GUGCUUGCUUCAGCAGCACAUAUACUAACACUGGAACGAUACAGAAAAGAUUAGCAUGGCCCCUGCGCAAGAAAAAAAGAAAGGAAUAAUAAACGUAUCUAAAUGUA
Molecule: small nuclear RNA, 107 nt
Filed under: Ursus thibetanus thibetanus
Lineage: Eukaryota; Metazoa; Chordata; Mammalia; Carnivora; Ursidae
Source: RNAcentral